This 427-nucleotide ribosomal RNA is filed under the name uncultured bacterium. Its description in RNAcentral is "partial 16S ribosomal RNA". It matches the Rfam family "Bacterial small subunit ribosomal RNA", at positions 355 to 774 of the family's 1533-position model. The record is from RNAcentral.
UGGGGAAUAUUGCACAAUGGGCGCAAGCCUGAUGCAGCCAUGCCGCGUGUAUGAAGAAGGCCUUCGGGUUGUAAAGUACUUUCAGCGAGGAGGAAGGCGUUGUGGUUAAUAACCGCAGCGAUUGACGUUACUCGCAGAAGAAGCACCGGCUAACUCCGUGCCAGCAGCCGCGGUAAUACGGAGGGUGCAAGCGGUAAUCGGAAUUACUGGGCGUAAAGCGCACGCAGGCGGUCUGUCAAGUCGGAUGUGAAAUCCCCGGGCUCAACCUGGGAACUGCAUCCGAAACUGGCAGGCUAGAGUCUUGUAGAGGGGGGUAGAAUUCCAGGGGUAGCGGUGAAAUGCGUAGAGAUCUGGAGGAAUACCGGUGGCGAAGGCGGCCCCCUGGACAAAGACUGACGCUCAGGUGCGAAAGCGUGGGGAGCAAACA